CCCUUAGAUGUUCUGGGCCGCACACGCGCUACACUGAAGGAGGCAGCGUGUACUCCUGGAUCGAAAGAUUUGGGUAACCCGCGAAUCUCCUUCGUGCUAGGGAUUGAGGUUUGCAAUUAUCCUUCAUGAACGAGGAAUUCCCAGUAAGUGCAAGUCAUAAGCUUGCGCUGACUACGUCCCUGCCCUUUGUACACACCGCCCGUCGCUACUACCGAUUGAAUGAUUUAGUGAGAACUUCAGACUGGGACCGAUGCGGCUUUCGGGCUGCGUCGGUAUUCUGGAAAGAUGUCCAAACUGUAUCAUUUAGAGGAAGUAAAAGUCGUAACA
This 327-nucleotide ribosomal RNA is filed under the name uncultured eukaryote. RNAcentral's name for it is "partial 18S ribosomal RNA". It matches the Rfam family "Eukaryotic small subunit ribosomal RNA", at positions 1470 to 1796 of the family's 1831-position model. The record is from RNAcentral.